This is a non-coding RNA of Mycena rosella, 89 nucleotides long. The record is from the annotation of a GenBank genome assembly. NCBI's taxonomy places the organism in Eukaryota, Fungi, Basidiomycota, Agaricomycetes, Agaricales, Mycenaceae.
GGCUCGGUGGUGGAUUUUCCACGCCUGCAAGAUAUAUGGGAUCGUCCUUGAAUAUGCAGGAGCCGCCCGUUCGACUCGGGCCCGAGCCA